RNAcentral lists this ribosomal RNA (253 nucleotides) under uncultured bacterium. RNAcentral's name for it is "partial 16S ribosomal RNA". It matches the Rfam family "Bacterial small subunit ribosomal RNA", at positions 524 to 776 of the family's 1533-position model. The record is from RNAcentral.
UACGAAGGGGGCUAGCGUUGUUCGGAAUUACUGGGCGUAAAGCGCGCGCAGGCGGUUUUUCAAGUCAGUGGUGAAAGCCCGGAGCUCAACUCCGGAACUGCCAUUGAAACUGUAAAACUUGAGGACGAGAGAGGUGAGUGGAGUUCCCAGUGUAGAGGUGAAAUUCGUAGAUAUUGGGAAGAACACCGGUGGCGAAGGCGGCUCACUGGCUCGUAUCUGACGCUCAGGCGCGACAGCGUGGGGAUCAAACAGG